UAACUCAUCAGACAAAAACAUGUUUUUUGGGGAAACGGGAAAACUGACCACAAAGAAUCAUUUUUCUUUUUCAUUCUACCAUCACUACAAACAUCUAAGAGUUAAAUAUCUGAGUAUUUGAACCAUGCCUUAAAAUACUGAUGGAGAUGGCAGAGACGAACACAGUCAGAUGAUAUGGAAGUGUUCUUCACACACACGUUGCUAUGGUGGGCAAUACAAAUAGAACACUGGGUCCGAAACCAUCUUAAGUCAAUUAAUGUGGGGGCUGUUUCUAUCUCACGUACUAGAAAUAAGAACACAGUCUAUUUUAGCGUUAUCUUAAUAGUUAAGUGAGUUAACGUGAAAGUGCUCCAUAAAAUGUUCCCCAAAUGCUCAAACUACCCUUCCCUGUUGAGCAAGAACAAAACAGCAGCUGGUAACCCUCCCCAAGAUGAUCUGUCUGUCUGCCUGCCUCUUCCCACGUAGCUCCUUAUCACUCUCAGGACGGUGAGGGGAUAGCGGGGAACUGUUUGGCGUAAUAGGCAUCUGGCGGCUUAGGAGGCGGGGCGAGACCUCGGUCUCGAGUAUAAAUCCCUCUCGCCUACGCGCUGCGGCAGCUCUCCUUCUGGAGACACUCGCCCAGGCAGGUAAGCACAGAUGGACCUGACCGCAGGUAUCGGCAAGGGCGCUCGGGGCUCGCAGGCGAUGGGCUGAGGCGGACGGCGCGGGACCCACGGAAGAUGCAGGUACAGGCUUAGCUUAACCCUGGCCAACCGCGCUGAAGGUGCAUUUUCUUCUCAUGUGGACAGAACAGACGGAAGGACUGGUCUGAGCGGCCGCCCACAUGCCGUUCCUCUGGUGAGGCUGAGAGACAAAGCCCAGGAGAACCUGGAGGGCACAUCUGGCUUCGGACGGAGGGACCCCCAGAGGAAUGAAAGCCCCAUCAACUAGACAGAAAAAAAAGAAAUCCAAGGGUCCAAAGGAGGAUUGCUGCAAGUUUGAGCGCAGCCUGGGCUACAUAGUGAGACCCUGUCUCAAAAAAACAAACAAAAAGGUAUAACCACCAUAUAUACCACAGCCACAAAGCCUGUGGGCCCUGGAUUUUUAGCACGCCUGUGGUUUUUUUUUUUUUUUUGGUACCAGGGAUUGAAUUUGGGUCCUUGCGCUUGCGCAGCAAGCAGUGAAACCACUGAGCUAAAUCCCCGAACCCUACACGCCUGUGUUUUGACUGUAAUGUGAAGUCAAGUGUGGAAUCUUUCACUGAUGGCAUCGUGUCAGUGCUCAGAAAGUGUCAGAUUUGGGAGCAUUUUGGCUUUCAGACUUUUAGAUUAGGGAUGCUCAACCUGUGUUUCUAUUCCCCGUAUAGCAGCAAAGUGGCUGCACUUUCUUGUUUAAUUGUUCUCUGUUCCCCUUCUGACCUCCACCUUCCCCUUGCCCGUGGGCCUUGUUCCAUGAAGGACCCGGAGGGAUGGGGGCUUCCAAAUACCUCAGGCCUAGGUUGCUGGCCCCUGUGCAUGUGUGGAAAGCAUCGCUAGAACUGGAGGUGUUUCAAAGGGAGUGAAGAGCACAUAAGAACAAGUGAUCUAAUACACAGGGUGAAUUCUUGGUAAUUAAAGCCAUGAGCAAGGAGGCAAAACAGACCUUGAAGGACGACGGCACACCUUGAUUCUUCAGAAAGACAUUCCAUAACGUCUAGGAGACUAUAAUUUAGCUUUCUAGCUUGGAAAUGCCAUAAACAAUACUUGCCAAAUCGGGAUGUUACAGAUUCUCACUCGUGUGGCAAGUACAGCUGGCAACUGGGAGAAAGCCAUCCAAGGACCAAGACUCCUCCAGCAAACCCCUGCCCCCCAGACGCACAUUUGGACACCACUUUAGGAGGGGCACGGGCUCCGGGAGCUACCGCGGACCUGAGGUUCAGAACUGAUUUUCAAAGGAAGCAUGAGGUUGUCAGAAUGCUUUCUCACCAGAAUCUGUAGGCGCUCCUAAGUUUUCUGAUGCCUGGUUAUGCUGAGUCCACUUACCAAUGUCCCCUCCCUCACCCUUCUGCCUCAGUCCCUUCCCGUGGUUGCGGGGCUGCUCUGGAGUCCAGAGACCGCAGUGGUCCACACAGCCAGCUAAGUGGCAACAUCUAGACAAUGGCAAGCAAGACAGCACCAUCCAAGGGAAGGACCGAGGCUGGAUACAGACACAGGGGGAGUCAGAGAAAGUUCUUCUGUUGUUAAAAUCAACAAGUACAAUGUCUCCAGAGAGGCCCAGAGGUCCCAUUAAGAAAUGGCCUACUUAAAUGGUCUCCAAAAGUUGGCAGCUAUCCUCAUGGGAACCAACAGCAGGAGCAGAAGCUGCUGUGAAUGAAGCUGAAAUGUCUUUUCUCACAUCUGGCUCUGUCUUGAUCACGUCCCUCCUCUGCCCAGGCUCCUCUGGGAGCUUCCUGUCUCACUAAGAGCUGAGGUCCACGAGGCCCUGACUGCACCCUGAGCACACCUACUCACCCCUCACCCCUUCUAUCCCAGCUACACUGCCCUCCUCACUGUUCCUCGAACACACCAGGCUUGCUGCCCCAGGGCCCUUGCAUGCACGGUCUCCUGUGCCUAGGACUCUCCACCUAUAUACCUUCAUGGUUCCCACACACACACUUUUUUCAAGUUUUUACUCCAUUGUCACCUCAGAUAGGCCUUCCCUAGUUAUGCUUUUGAAAAAUCCCAUGCCCACAGUUGGCAGAGCCAGGAUUUCAACCCAGCUCAUGAUUCCAAGUUCCCUGAGCCCAUUGCCCUUGCCUGGAAGCCCUGGGACAGAAGAGAGGCCGAGACCCAUCUUUCUGGAAUCAGCCAAUGCUUCCGGAGAGCAGGGCUGGGAACCAAGUCCGGGCACCCAUUUGGUGUGGCUGUGAAAUGGUGGGGUCAUUCUGUUUGCUUCUGAACUUCACCGAAAAAUGUAAUCGAGACUGCCAAUUAAAAGCUGUUUUCAUGACCCCAGAAAAUCCACGGAUUGGCGACAUUUACUUUCAACAGUCUUUCCACCCUAACAGGAAAAGAGGCGGAGCCGGGAAGUUUAUUAUGACAGCUGCUUUCAUACCCCAAACAAGGUUGGGCUGUUUUUGGCAGGUUGCACUGUAGUAGAGCUGGCAAGAGGCUGACAGGCUGCGUGAGUUUCCUUUCAAAAGAUCACUUUGCUUCCUUAAAAACCCCACCGCUGCACUACGGCAUCUACGUGAACUGCAGAUGUUUGCCCCUCUGCCCCUGGGGUGUCCGCCCUACCUGGGCAUGAGACUGCAGACUGCAGAGACCUUGGUCAGACAGAACCCACUGUCCUUUAGAGAAGCGGCUAAACUCUCCGAGCCCCAGUGUCCUCAAGUCAGGGUUACCAUGAGGACCGGGGGACGGCAAAUAGAGCCCAUGGCACAGGGCCAGAACCGUGGGCAGCUGUCGUGAUGAUGUGGUCAUUAUAAGGACUUCAGGUGGCAAGAGGCUGAGUCCUGGCCCUUCUGAGGGCUCUUCUGAGAGAUCCCAUUUGCAAAAUGCAAGCCACAAAGAAUGUAAAGUGCAGUCCUUCUUCUUAUGGAUUUUAAGGAAGUGACUCGGCACCCUCUUCCCUGUGACCCCACAAGUGGGUAGGAAAUGGAGCGAGGAUGGAUGCCAGCCCCCCCCACACACACACAUGUCACCGCCCUCGGGGUCCCAAGCAUGGAGAAGGGGUGGGAGAGGUGAAGACCGGGGUGGCCCGGAGGGCAGGGCUUCACCGGGCUUAAACUGGAAAUCCUACAGGAAGCGAAGACUCGUGGCUGUGGGGGCUGGGCUGUGCCUCCUCCUCCCCCGAACCCGUGCUCAGCAAACACCUGAAACCAUUUCAGUGCUAAUGGCUUCCAGAUGGCAGAAGAGCAGCGACCAGCACAGGACAGACUCAACACGUGGGAGCCUGGGGUCUGAUGCCCACCAGCCCUGCUGCUGAACCCACGCAGAUUAGGACUGGAGCCCCGGCAAGCUUGGGGCCCCAGCUGGACCCAACAGUGGGCGCUGGGCAUGUCAGGAUGGGCUUGUCCGCAAAGCCACCCUCCUUGCCUCUCCAGCAUCCAGCCCAGGCAGCACAGCAAGGAAAAGAACCUCCCAGUGCCCUGGGAUUUGGGGCUGUGGUGGAGGAAACCCUUGGCCAUUGCUGGCAAUUUUGAAAAUCUAUUUUUGAUUUCCAAAAGCUUUUAAAUCUUCUGUCUUUGCAGAGCCUGGGUUUGGAGGAUUUGCUUCCCAGAGAGGCAGGGAAGCUGGUGAGCAGCCCAAGAAAGACAGGACAGGGAUUCAAAAGGCCACCACUAGCUGGGCGCAGGAACAGCAACUCUCCUGGGGAGGAGCGGGGAGAGGGAAGGUGUGCGGUGGGGCCCUGCUUCUUCCCACAAGGGCUGCAGGUCCUUUCCGCUCAGAUGUUGAAGCAGCCCAAACACCAAGCAUCUGAAGGUAGAAAUUGGAACUGUACACAUCUUCAGCCUAGCUGAUCCCUAAGGGUGAUGGUCCAGUAGUCAGUGAUCAGGCAGAAAGGGCGGCCCAGAGCAUGGCCCAGGUGGGUGGCAGCCCUGCCCACAUCCCAGCGGAGACAUUAAAGACACACACUCGAGCAAUUCUUAGUGGGUGGAACACCCUGGAGCAGCCAACACACUUUCCACUGCUGACACGAAGCUUCCACUGCCUGGUGUUUUCCCGGAGGGCACCCUGCUCCGGGUGGACCAUGCUGUACCAGGCUGAGGAGACAUCACAAGCCCAGGCUGGGAAUUAAAAACAAAAACAGAUUAUAAAUAAAAGUAGCUGUUCCACUGUUUAAGGAAAGUAGCUGCAAGGGCAGGGGCCAGCGCUGCGAGAAUAUUCUUCCGUGUGUGAAGGUAGGUAAAAAUCCCAAGUGUGUUGCUUGGUGAAUCAAAGCAGACUCAGUGGCCACUGGUCCUUCGGCCAGUGGUCAGUAUCAAGUCCUGCAGGGCAUGGCAAGUGGGGGAGAGAGAACAAAGCAAACAGCACCCGGUGUCUGCAUCCAGGUGCUCACCAGGGGCAAUCAUAGUGGCCUGUCGACACCUAGCUUCCUCAUAUAAUCUGGACUGCUCUGCUGCAGAAAGCCUGAAGUCGAAGGUAUACUAAUUAUCUUAUUCAGGUCAUCCAGGACUCUUCUUUUCUGUGUGACAUACUUCGUCCCAAUUCAUUUUCCCUCCUCCUUUCCUUGCCCAUACUGUUAGCCUCUCAGUUCUCAUCUGUCUGUCCCUUCUUCCCCUACAUGCCUCCUCUGCCACCCCUCCAUUCUCAGCAGCUCUAUUUCUCUUGGUUCUUUCCUGCCAACAGUGCCCUCAGGAACUUUACAUGCAAACGUCCAUGGGUGAACACCCUUGGAUGAGUUUGGAGCAGGACAUGGUAGAUGGGCGUGGGAUGCUUUCCAACAAGCCUGCCUUCCCUGACACACUCACUGUCAGCAGACAAAGUUGGAUGAAUCAUUCAACCUUCCUAUCAUAACACUUGAACUUUAUUAGGAGGAAAAGUUUGAACAAACAGAAAUGUUCACUUCCUCUGAACUGGAUCCAUGACACCGCAAAAUUUUGGAAAAGUGAAGGAAACAUGAAAAUCACAGAAGGAGAAAGGCAAAAAAAUUAAAGAAACAAACAGCACAAGGGUAGACUCAACUCCAGACUGGUGACAGUGUAUUCGGGUCAAAGCUCAAGAUCUGAAAACUGUGUCUUAAUGGCCCACUAAGUCGUGGUCCUCCAUGCUUCUGCCACGUAUGUGAUUUAGAGGGAAGUGGUCCAGUCCCGAGGGGCUCGUGAGCCUGUAUGCGUGAUGGUUCAAUUGAGAGCACCAAGUGGCCCAGUCAGGGAGGUGGCAACACAAAGGUCAGGUGUGCAGGAGGGGACCAUUCAUCAGCCCAACACGUGAGCAGGCCCAGGGCAGCGCACAGGAUGAGAGCCAUCUGCUAGCUUUGCUUGCAAGACCCGAUUGAGAAGCCACCAGCACAAAACCACAAAGGAGAAGAUGAAGCUGGAUUUCCGGAGGAAGAAGCAAAGAUUUCUACCCAGAGCUGAGGUAUCUGCCUUCAGACAAGGCAUGAAUGCCAGUCUGCAUCUCCACGCUGUCUGCUUUUCGAGGAAGGGCAAUCCCUGCAUGGGGAGUCUGUGGCUUCCCAGUAUUGCAUGCUGGCCACUUGAGUGGGUCUGAUUCUGGAUUCGGCAUUGAGAACUCACUGUUACAGCACCCCUAAUCCGUCCCCUCUCAUUUGGCCUUUAUCACUCUACAGAACAAGGAACUCUCGGAAGAGCACACAACUACCCACACCAACCAGGGUCAGCUUAGUUACAUUUUCAACAAAGGCAACAGGGCACCGCUGGAGACCUCUACCUGGACACCCACACUGGGCCAAGUGUGCUCAGAUAAGGGUCAGCUAACCACAGCACCUCACACGGUGCUCCUUUCCCCAACUUUUCGUGGGCCAAAGUAUCUCUUCCUCCUAAAAUAACGCUCUUCCCCCGUAGAGUAUCUGAGCCGCAGGUUAGGAGGAAAACAACCUGACCGCAUUAUUGACAAUUUCAUGUGAAGGUGGAGCAACUGAAUUCACUGACAGAAUGGAAUGUAGAAGUGAUGGAAUUUCAGCCAAUGUCCUUUUGCAAAAGAAGUUAUUUCACCCCAAAUUAGAAUAGAAUGUUUGAAAAUGAGAGCUGGCCCUCUGUAUCCCUGGUUCUGAAUCCUAUGAUUCAAGCAACUACGGAUCAAAGGUAUUUUUAAAAAUUGCAGCUGUACUGAAUGUGUACAGACUUCUUUCUAUCAUUACCCUCUAAGCAAUACUGUUUAAUAACUGUUUACAUAGCAUUUACAUUGUAUCAAGUGUUAGAAGUAACCUAGAGAUGAUUUAAUGUAUACAGGAGGGUGUGUGCAGGUUAUAUGCAAAAACAAUGCCAUUUUCUAGAAGGGGCUUGAGCGCCUGCAGACUUUGGUGCCUGCGGGAGGUCCUGAGAUCAAUCUCUUGCAGAUGCCAAGGGACAACUAUGCAUCCAUUCCUCUCACACACAGACAGGUGCGUAGAGUCACAGUAUAGAAUACUAUGCAGCAAUUACAAAGGGGAAUGGUUAGCACUCUAUAUACUAACAUAGAGACUCCAGGAUAUGUAACAGCAGCCCCUUUUGGACUAAAGCCCAACCUCGAGAUCACAAAUAAGCCCACCCCUGCUCUUCCUCUGUUGAUUCUGAGUAGGCCUCCCUCCUUCCCUGAGAGAACCAGGCCUGCUUGUUACUACACAGACUCCAGCCUAAAGAGCACUGGAAGAAAAAGCACUUCUGGAAAGCUAAUGACAGGAUUCUCACUCACAGUCGGAAGCUCACUCACAGGUCUGGCCACAGAUGGGAAUCCACAAACCUUGUUCACAACUAUCUAAUGACUGGUUUUUGCUCUACUCUAAGGCCAAAGAUAAGGUCCUCGUGGCAGUUUUGUCUUUAAUAUUAAAAGCACAAGAAAACAACCGCAAAGCUGUGAGCUAACACGCUGCCCACUCAUUUCUCAGGCUGCUGCCUCAGUGGUGGCCAGGUCCCCAGGGCUUUGCCUGGUGGGGGCUCUGCUGGCCCACUCAUAUCUGCCCCUCCUCAGAGCAGGGCGCAGAAUGGGCCACCCCGCUGCCUGAGGGCUGCCUGCUGUGGAAGCAGAGUGGGCCCAGCCUCUCCUCAAGCCAGGGACAAUGGCAAACCUGAGUUAGGCUCUUUCAAAGCAGAAACCCCUGUCUGGGAAUUUGUUUUUUGACGUCCUUUUGCCCAUCUUUUUUUAAUCCUCUUGAACCAAGGAUCACUUGGCAAAUGAUUUGUGCUAAGGGAUUAAAAAGAUAAUAGAAGAAAUCCGUGCAUGCAUCGUAAUCCCCCAAAGUUAGGAAGGCCCUGUCUUCCUAAUGCCCUGCGCAUGGUUUAGCAGCAGGUCACGGGAGGCACCGGGACACUCUUGGCCUGCACACUGCUGGGACAGACAUUGUCCCCAAGGCAGCAAGCCAUCGCCUGUCAGGAAGUAAACACACAGUGUCUGUGGGCAGCUUUAUGUCCAGAGGGAAUUGGUUCCACUGUUUAUUUUUGGGGGGGUGGGGGAGAUCUGCUAAGUCAGGCUGACCCCAUCCUCCUGCCUCAGCCUCCUAAGUAGCCAGGAAGGACCAAAGGACCAUGCCAGGGCACCCAGCUACUCUUACUUCUAACUUGAACUUCUGGCUUCCCCAAAGCCAUUUCUAAACAAUGGGUUUUCCAGUGUGGCUGUCAGAGGGUUUUGUUCCCAUUACCUUAGCAUGAACUCAACUUCUAACAACUUGGGGGAAGAAGGGGAAAGCUAUCAGAUGUGCAGCUGCUUGCACCAUGUGGAGCCAGUCUUCCUAAAUUCCCAGUGUUUUCAGCUGAAAGUGACUUAGUGUGCAUAAGCACAGCUAGAAUGGGACAAGCAGAACUGUGUGUGUCCAGAUGGGAAAGGCAGCUCUGAACCAUUUUCCCUGGUCAGGUUCGGGGUGGGCUGCUUCUGGAAACCUUUGGAAGUAAUCGCAUCAGAGUGCCUCACUUCUUCCUUGAAAACAGUAUGCACACGUUCCAGGUUCCCACCGCACUGAUGGCUGGGAUCUUCCCAGCUAUCAUCUGGAGGGCGGAGGGUGGUGCCAGUGGGCACAGGCAGCGCUCUGGCUGUCACUGUUCAGGCUGACUGGGAGAAGAGUCCUGACUUCCGAGACGCUGGUGUACAACUCAGUACAUCAUGACAGCAGUGAUAUCAAUGUCUGAAUUUACCUCCUCUUGGUGCUCUUUGGGGGGAAUCAAGAAGAGAUGAUCUUUACCCACCAGUUCUCCAUAGCAUAUCACGAAGUAACUAGGCACAAGUUAGCUCUUUCCUUGGUCAAUGAAAAUGCAGGCAGGAGGUGGCCACAGUUAUUUUUAGCACUUAGAAAGCAAUCCUAAUAACCCCAGUUCAAGCUCAUCAUUGCAUUUAUGAUGAGUGAGAACUUUCAGGAAGACCUGGCCAUUGCAUGCCCUAUAAAUUCACUCUUCCUUUGGAUACGCCAGGUGGGCCUGGGGAGGUAGAAAAAUAACUGUACUGACAUCAAAAGCCUUGGGUUACAAUCUUGGUUCUCGCGCCAAACACCCAUGCCAAUUUGCCCAAGCCUUCUCGUCCUCAUCUCUGAUGGAAUCAUCCUGCACAAAGCUUUCAUGCAGUUCAAAUUAAGACACUGGAUGGGAAGGAUAGGCAUAUAGUUUAUAAAUUAUACUGUUAUGUAACUUUGUGGGAUUUGUUAUUUGUGUUAUGCAAAAUUAACCCUCCUUUUGGUGAACACCACAGCCUUCUGAAUCAAGAACAAAGCAAAACAAAUAUACUUGUGAACGUAGGUUUAUGCUUUCUGGACUUGGUUUAUGCUUCACACAAUUACUUCAGUUAGUAAGCAAAAGGGGCCAAAUCCCAAAGAUCCUCAGCCCACAGCUUUACUUCUGAAACAUGAGGGCUUCUAUAGACCUCCUGUCUGCCUGGAGUUCAGAGCAAGACAGGUGCUGCCAGGCUAGGGAAUUUACGUAACCACCGGUCCCAAUGCCAGGUCACUUUGAGUGGGGCCAUGGGGUUGCACUGUUAGUCCCUAAAGAUCAAUCGCUUCUCUUCCAUAAUUAAACACCUUUGGAAAUUAUUCUUUUCUUUGCUGCAUAGCCCAGGGUUGAAAUCCUUUGUUCUUGAGGUCUUUGAUAGGGAAUAAAAGCUCAAGUUUGCUGUCUGCUAUUACUUUUUUUUUUUUGGUACCAGGAAUUGAUCUCAGGACCUUGCACUUAUGAGGCAGGCAGCGGUACCACUGUGUUAAAUCCCCGGCCCUACUGUCUAUUACUUUUUAAGAUACCUGCUGUAAGAAAUAAUCUUCAUGAAUGAUUGCCUAACAGAUAAAGGAACAUCUAUUCCUGUAGAUACCCUAUAUUGUAUCCACACAUCAAGCCAAACCAUCAGAAAGCAGCAGGCAUAAGCCGAAUCGUUCUGGCCUCGUAUAGAGUUGUGUUACUGAAUUACACUUUGGCAGUGUGCCACUGAUUCGCAGUGAGGGACAUUACAAGACACAGUCCCAUCAGAAUUCCUAGCGAGGAGAUACUCUUGAAGAUCUUCCCCCUUUAUCUCACUUGCAGCCUUCGAUGAGAAUCAAUAGAGAAAUUUCCCCACACUCUUGUUCUAGCAGAGGCCUGUUUCUCUUAAGCAAAUGGCUUUUUUCAUACAGGCACAAUGAAUUUCAUAUUUCCAUUUUUGCGUUGGUGUCUGUGAAGCUCAGGGUCAAAUUUUCUUCCAUUUUUGACAACUGGGUAUGAAUUGUA
Heterocephalus glaber (naked mole-rat) is the source of this 10276-nucleotide non-coding RNA. The record is from RefSeq and is a predicted model, not a curated record. NCBI's taxonomy places the organism in Eukaryota, Metazoa, Chordata, Mammalia, Rodentia, Bathyergidae.